This is a long non-coding RNA of Bufo bufo (common toad), 305 nucleotides long. RefSeq lists it as uncharacterized. The record is from RefSeq and is a predicted model, not a curated record. The transcript has 3 exons. Lineage: Eukaryota; Metazoa; Chordata; Amphibia; Anura; Bufonidae.
ACGGCCGUGUGCAUGAGGCCUAAUUUACAUAUUGUUCAGUCAGUGAUUUUGAGGCAUAACCAGGUGCGUCUCUAAAUAAAGAACAGGGCUCAUGCGCACAAACAUAUUUUUUGUCCACAUCCGAUACGCAUUUUUUCCAGGUUGGAUGCGGACCCAUUCACUUCAAUUAAUCCGCAAAAGAUGCGGAGAGCACACCGUGUGCUGUCCGCAUUCGCAUGUCUGUUCAGUGGCACCUUGCCUUGGACAAAGAUGGGAAUGUUCUAUAGAGGCCAGGACGUUCCCUUCUGCAAAAUGUGAAACGCACA